Helicoverpa zea (corn earworm) is the source of this 1302-nucleotide long non-coding RNA. RefSeq lists it as uncharacterized. The transcript is spliced from 5 exons. NCBI's taxonomy places the organism in Eukaryota, Metazoa, Arthropoda, Insecta, Lepidoptera, Noctuidae. The record is from RefSeq and is a predicted model, not a curated record.
UUAUGAGCUCCCUUUAGUAUCAUAAAUUGUCUGCGAGAAUUUGUUACGGAUCAAUUUGUGAAUAACAGUGUUUCUGUAAGUUUUGUCGUAAUGGAAGGUGGUUGUGAAGAUGAAGACGAGGCGGAUUCUCGGUGUCUACUGAAAAUUAGUGCUGGUUGGUGCAUCUUUAAAAACCUAGGAUAAUAAACAUCAAAAGUAGUUAGGGUGGUGGCAGCCGGUUUUACUUGAGUGCAUUUGAGACCUUCAGAGAUAAUUAUAUCCCUGAACCAAUACCUGUCUGCUGCCUGCCUACUACUACCUGCUACCUGUGUAGCGAGUAUCAUCAUUCAUCAUCACCCAUCAUCAUCAUCAUCAUCAUCAGUUUCAGUCUACUGGCUGAAGAAAGCCUGACCACCAACGGCUGCGAAGCUCACCAGGGGACCAGCUCAUCAUCAGCUGAUCAUCCUGGUGGAGUCAUCAUUGCGGGAAGGUGACGUCGGCGUCUCGUAGGCCGACGGUCAACAUCUACAGCUGUCAGCUUCGGGAAGCCUUUUUUAAUUUAGAUGCCGUUGCGGACAAAUGUAUGCUUCGCACUCGACUAGCAUCAUCAUCCGCAGCGUCAAGACUAUCUACUGUUAAACAAAGGCUUCCCCCAACAAUUUGCCUGCCUCCAGCGCUAUUAAGCAGGCUUUAUACAACGUGUAACGUUUAAUGCGCAAAACUUCAAACACCACAAACGAUCUCUAAAUCAACCAUCCGAAUUCUGAAGGAAAAUCAGAGAUUUCGUGAGCUCAACAGCUCAUAACACCUUUCCAACUGGUUGGUUCUGCAGGCAAUUGACAUCAUUACCUGCGCCUGUGCGCGUCGAUACGACGCUUUUGGCGAAUUCGUUCGCGAACGUGGUGCAGACUCUGCUCAUUGUUCUUUUGAAUCUAUAUCUAGCUUUUGCGCAUUAAAGUUACACGUUGUAUAGAUCGUCCGACCACCUUCAAGCUGCGAAAUCGAAUAUUUUAUCUAAUAAGAGCAGAGCGCGUCGCGCCACGCUUAGUGUAGUGUUUCGUAGUUGCAAAUAUAUUUCGUAGUUUCUAUGAAUUUUACCUUUCACUUGCUAACGCAAAUUAUGUAUUUCAAAAUCAGUGGAUUCUGGCUAAUAUUACAAUUGCGAAUGUGUGUUUGUAUAAACAUCAAGUUUGGCAAAGUUUGAAACGUUUUCUGAAAGUAAAUCUUUUAGUCGCUUCUUUAGGAAACAAUUGUAAGCUUUUUGAAAUUAUAUCACUUAAUAUUCAUGCUAUGCUAUAAUAAAAUAAAUGACUUACUAAUUCA